This 159-nucleotide ribosomal RNA is filed under the name uncultured bacterium. Its description in RNAcentral is "partial 16S ribosomal RNA". It matches the Rfam family "Bacterial small subunit ribosomal RNA", at positions 355 to 509 of the family's 1533-position model. The record is from RNAcentral.
UGAGGAAUAUUGGUCAAUGGGCGGGGAGCCUGAACCAGCCAAGUCGCGUGAGGGAAGACGGUCCUAUGGAUUGUAAACCUCUUUUGUCGGGGAGCAAAGAGGCCACGUGGUGGUCAAAAGCGAGAGUACCCGAAGAAAAGCAUCGGCUAACUCCGUGCC